GUGUGUGUGUAUGUGUGUGUGUGUGUGCACGCGCAUGCACACACACACACACACACACACACCCAUACACACACACACACAC
This 82-nucleotide microRNA precursor is filed under the name Erinaceus europaeus (western European hedgehog). Its description in RNAcentral is "miRNA (ENSEEUG00000019454.1)". The record is from RNAcentral. Lineage: Eukaryota; Metazoa; Chordata; Mammalia; Eulipotyphla; Erinaceidae.